This 403-nucleotide ribosomal RNA is filed under the name uncultured bacterium. RNAcentral's name for it is "partial 16S ribosomal RNA". It matches the Rfam family "Bacterial small subunit ribosomal RNA", at positions 28 to 526 of the family's 1533-position model. The record is from RNAcentral.
GACGAACGCUGGCGGCGUGCCUAAUACAUGCAAGUCGAACGCAGUGGGGACGGGUGGGUAACAAGUGGGUAACCUCCCAUCAGAGGGGAGAACACUUGGAAACAGGUGCUAAACCGAUACUGAUGGAUGGACCCUGGGUGCAUUAGCUAGUUGGGGAGGGAACGGCUCACCAAGGCCACGAUGCAGAGCGGGCCUGCGAGGGUGAUCGGCCACACUGGGACGGAGACACGGCCCAGACUCCUACGGGAGGCAGCAGUAGGGAAUCUGCGGCAAGGGACGAAAGUCUGCCCGAGCAACGCCGCGUGAGUGAAGAAGCUUUUCGGAUCGUAAAACCCUGUUGUUAGAGAAGCGGUAUCUGACCAGAAAGCCACGGCUAACUACGUGCCAGCAGCCGCGGUAAUAC